GAUGAACGCUGGCGGCAUGCCUAAUACAUGCAAGUCGGACGGGCAGAGGUGUUUCUUGCGGCGGUCGGGUGAGCAACGGGCAAGAACGUGCCCCGUGGAGGGGCACCAUAUCUGGAAACGGUAGCUAAGACCACGCAGACCGAGUAGCAAAAGGUGGAGUCCGCCGGAGGGGGGGCUAGCGUAUGAUUAGCUAGUUGGUGAGGCAAUAUCUUACCCAGGCGCUGUUCCGAAGCUGUACCGAGAGGAUGAUCGGCCACACUGGGACCGGGACACGGCCGUGGCUCCUCCGGGGGGCAGCGCUAGGGACUUUCCCGCAAAGGGCGCGAGCCUGACGGAGCACUGCCGCGUGGAAAUAGCUGGCCCACGGGUAGUGAAAUGCUUUACCCGGAGAAGAAGCAAUGACGGUAUCUGGGGCAUAAGCAUCGGCUAACUCUGUG
This 437-nucleotide ribosomal RNA is filed under the name uncultured bacterium. RNAcentral describes it as "partial 16S ribosomal RNA". It matches the Rfam family "Bacterial small subunit ribosomal RNA", at positions 28 to 507 of the family's 1533-position model. The record is from RNAcentral.